Molecule: microRNA precursor, 82 nt
Filed under: Vicugna pacos (alpaca)
Lineage: Eukaryota; Metazoa; Chordata; Mammalia; Artiodactyla; Camelidae
Description: miRNA (ENSVPAG00000018019.1)
Source: RNAcentral
UAGGGUGAACAACCAGCCUGGGUUGCCUGGGACUGAGAGCGAUCAGACCCAUCCGUGGGACUUUCAGGGCUAAAGCUGGUGA